Long non-coding RNA from Apis florea (little honeybee), 1551 nucleotides. The record is from RefSeq and is a predicted model, not a curated record. NCBI's taxonomy places the organism in Eukaryota, Metazoa, Arthropoda, Insecta, Hymenoptera, Apidae.
AUAUAUUUAUUAAUUUUCUUCUUUUUUCUUCGAUUGGUGUCACCACGAGGACAUGGUACGAGCUUUGCUUGCGAUUGCGAUUUUCGAGUGAUUAUGCGUAUUUUUUCCAUCGUCGUUCUUUCUUUCGUGGCUCGAUUCCUCUUGAAAUCACCGCGAUAUUUUUGCAUUUGAAGCAUUAUUCGAGCAAUGGAUCAAAGCUGAGACCAUCUCAAAACUGAAACCAAAUCAAGUUCAAUGAUAUCUCGCCUGGAAAUAUCUCCGAAAGAAAAAAAAAAAGAAAAAAAUUCAGAGAGAUUCGAGCCACCCCAAACAUCGUUGACACGUUUUAACUUUAAGAUGCGCGGGGUCCCGAGCGACUCGGAAAAAUUCGGGCGGGAUCGGGCGAGAUCGCGAUAUUUCAUUAUUCGUCCGAUCUCGCCCGAAUCUCUCCGACUCCCUUGCGAUCUUUCGCGAUCUCUCCCGAUGUUGCCCGAACUUUUCCGAUCCGCCGCGAAAUUCAAAUUCUAACCUCUCUCACCAUCCGUUUUUGGCCAACGAGAUGGUAACAAAAAUGUUAUGCUAAAAAAAAAAAAAAAGAAAAAUCAAACAAAAGAUCAUGGCGGGGCACACGGGGACCCCGUCAAAGUUCGACAUCGACGAACUCGUGUACUCGUCAGCGAGCAACGCUUCGAAACAAAGGGAUUCACGAAGAAUAAUAUAAAGAUAGGGGAGAGGGCACGAACGUCGGCGUUUCAUCACGUCCAUGAACUCUGCGCUUUCGGAUGAUUUCACUCGAGAAAGAACGUUUUUUGAACGGAUCGAUUUCGGUGGAAACUUUUUUUUUUCCCCUCCCCCAUGAAAAUAUGUACAAAGUCAUCGUAUACACGCGUCAUGCACGACACGCAUUCUCACGUACACAUACACACACCACACACACACACCACACACACACAAAUCACACACUUAACGAGAAUCAUUGAAUUAGAUAGAUAAGCUACGCGUGAUGCCAGUACAGUCCCACGGCGUGAUAGUGUGCGAGGAGAGAAAGGAAGGAAGGGAAAAAAAGGAAGGGAGAUGAGGAACGAAGAGAGUGCGGUGUUUCUUCUUUAAAAAAAAAAAAAUAUAUAUAUAUAUAAUAAAAAAAAAUAAAAACCGGAAAAUUCGAGCGGUAUGCCUGACUUCCACUUGCGAACUUUUCAACUGUUCUAUUAUUCGGGGUGGAGAAGAUAACAAUUGUGGGAAGGAAGAGAGAAAGAGAGAGUUGUGCGAGCGAUUGAUUGCGUGUGGCUGCGUCGCGAACGAGAGGCCAGGAUGAAAUGAUGAUAAAUCGCGCAUGCGAGUGUGAGAGGGAGAGGUGUUUUUUUUUUUUUCUUUCUGGGGGCGAGAAAGUAGGAUUAUUAAACGCAAACCGAUUAAUUUCGAACACGAGCAUGCGGUGGUUUUUAGGAUAAAUGAUCUAUUGACAAAUGUUGUAUAUUAUUACGAAUUAUAAUGACACUAUUAUAAUUAAUUAAUUAAUUAAUUAAUUAAUUAUUAUACCCUAAUAACGUGAAUUGAAUUAAAAAAGAAAAU